This 500-nucleotide ribosomal RNA is filed under the name uncultured bacterium. RNAcentral's name for it is "partial 16S ribosomal RNA". It matches the Rfam family "Bacterial small subunit ribosomal RNA", at positions 30 to 523 of the family's 1533-position model. The record is from RNAcentral.
AUUGAACGCUGGCGGCAUGCCUUACACAUGCAAGUCGAACGGCAGCACGGGAGCAAUCCUGGUGGCGAGUGGCGAACGGGUGAGUAAAGUAUCGGAACGUGCCCAGUCGUGGGGGCUAACGUAGCGAAAGUUACGCUAAUACCGCAUACGAUCUAUGGAUGAAAGCGGGGGAUCGCAAGACCUCGCGCGAUUGGAACGGCCGAAAUCAGAUUAGGUAGUUGUGGGGGUAAAGGCUCACCAAGCCGACGAUCUGUAGUUGGUCUGAGAGGACGACCAGCCACACUGGGACUGAGACACGGCCCAGACUGCUACGGGGGGCAGCAGUGGGGAAUUUUGGACAAUGGGCGAAAGCCUGAUCCAGCCAUGCCGCGUGCAGGAUGAAGGCCUUCGGGUUGUAAACUGCUUUUGUACGGAACGAAAAGGUUUGGCCUAAUAAGCUGAGCUCAUGACGGUACCGUAAGAAUAAGCACCGGCUAACUACGUGCCAGCCGCCGCGGUAA